Molecule: ribosomal RNA, 253 nt
Filed under: uncultured bacterium
Lineage: Bacteria
Description: partial 16S ribosomal RNA
Rfam family: Bacterial small subunit ribosomal RNA
Source: RNAcentral
UACGGAGGAUGCAAGCGUUAUCCGGAAUGAUUGGGCGUAAAGCGUCCGCAGGUGGCUGUGUAAGUCUGCUGUUAAAGAGUGAGGCUCAACCUCAUAAAGGCAGUGGAAACUACAUGGCUAGAGUGCGUUCGGGGCAGAGGGAAUUCCUGGUGUAGGGGUGAAAUGCGUAGAGAUCAGGAAGAACACCGGUGGCGAAAGCGCUCUGCUAGGCCGCAACUGACACUGAGGGACGAAAGCUAGGGGAGCGAAUGGG